CAAUGGGGGAACCCUGNAUGCAGCGACGCCGCGUGGAGGAAGAAGGUCUUCGCNAUUGUAAACUCCUGUUGUUGAGGAAGAUAAUGACGGUACUCAACAAGGAAGUGACGGCUAACUACGUGCCAGCAGCCGCGGUAAAACGUAGGUCACAAGCGUUGUCCGGAAUUACUGGGUGUAAAGGGAGCGCAGGCGGGAGAACAAGUUGGAAGUGAAAUCCAUGGGCUCAACCCAUGAACUGCUUUCAAAACUGUUUUUCUUGAGUAGUGCAGAGGUAGGCGGAAUUCCCGGUGUAGCGGUGGAAUGCGUAGAUAUCGGGAGGAACACCAGUGGCGAAGGCGGCCUACUGGGCACCAACUGACGCUGAGGCUCGAAAGUGUGGGUAGCAAACAGGAUUAGAUACCCUGGUAGUCCAAGGGCGAAUUC
RNAcentral lists this ribosomal RNA (423 nucleotides) under uncultured bacterium. Its description in RNAcentral is "SSU rRNA". It matches the Rfam family "Bacterial small subunit ribosomal RNA", at positions 369 to 808 of the family's 1533-position model. The record is from RNAcentral.